CAUAAAACCAUGUGAACGCAUUCUGAGCUCAUUAAAAGUCGAAUUGCCCUGGGGAAAAACAAGCAAACAAACCAACAACAAAAUACCCUACGCAGUAAAGAGGGCUGACGGAAGGGGGCACCUUUCUCUACACCAGGUUGCUCAAGGCUCCAUCCAGCCUGGCCUUCAGCACUCCUGGAAUGGGGGGGCAUCCACAACUCUGGGCAAUCCAUUCCAGUGCCUCACCACCCUCCUCCUAUCAACUACUUCUGAAGCUAAUAGAGGGUAUUGGAAAAGAAAAUGAAACAGAAUUAUGCACUCAAGUGUUUCUGCCAGGAAAACAAACCCUCUAAUUAGGGUAUAAUGAAAACCAAAUCUCAUUUACAAAAUAAA
Poecile atricapillus (Black-capped chickadee) is the source of this 372-nucleotide long non-coding RNA. RefSeq lists it as uncharacterized. NCBI's taxonomy places the organism in Eukaryota, Metazoa, Chordata, Aves, Passeriformes, Paridae. The record is from RefSeq and is a predicted model, not a curated record. The transcript is spliced from 3 exons.